Molecule: long non-coding RNA, 668 nt
Filed under: Citrus x clementina
Lineage: Eukaryota; Viridiplantae; Streptophyta; Magnoliopsida; Sapindales; Rutaceae
Description: Citrus clementina (C. clementina) long non-coding RNA (CCLE_LNC004831)
Source: RNAcentral
AAGGAUGAAAAAAAAAAAAAGAAGAAGAAGAAAAGAACCAAUUUAGGUUGAAUGAAAAAUCAUAUUUGUCUCUUAAUGUAUAAAUAGAAGCGACGGUCAAACAAUGUCAAUGGACCUCAAUUUCCAAAAAAUAAAAUAGGACUUAAGGGUGAUUACCUUACCUUAUUAAGAUUUUACAUCGGUGAAAUAUAAAUUAUUUGGUGGUUUAUUAAUUUUUAAAGCAACUUCUUUUUACAAGCUAAUUUUUAAAUUCGUAAAUGUUGAAAAUGAUUUGAUGUAAUUGCCUCUAAAUAUUUUAGGAAUAGAAGUAGGCGGAUGCUUGGAUGGUUGACUAAGGCUCAGGCUCCGUGUUAUUUUCGUGUGACAGUUGUGAUGGCAAUGGAUGCCUAGGCCAUAGACUAAAGCUCCAUUUGAUAUUAUUGUUGGACAGUAGAAUAAGUGCCUGUUUGGUAUAGUUUAUUUAAGAGUCAUAAGUACUUAUUUAAUCGCAUAAGUACUUUUUAAAAAUUUUUAUGGUGUUUGGUUAUUUUUUUAGUAGAGUUUUUUUUAGCUUAAAUAAGCUAAUUUAUCUCUAUUAGCAAAAGCCCAAAUUUUGAGCUUUUGGGAGUAGAGGUUGGAGAGCUUUUCUAAAAAAUAUAUAAUAUAAAAAAUAUCACACAUUUUAAUGG